GCGGCCUGCGCACACACCCAUCCUGGGCCCGCGCCCCGGGCCUGCCCUGGAGCGCCCCGCGCUUCAGACUCACCCACGUGUGCGGCGGCGGCGGCGACUGCGUGGCCCCGGCGCGGCCCCGCACCCGGGCGGUGGAGAGAAAGGGCUGUCAGUUGGCCGCGGCGGCCAGCGUGCGAGGGACCGGAUGCCCAAGCCGGGCGGAUUUGGAAAAGGAUAGCUGGUAAUCGUGGCUUGUUUUGCUUUGUUUUCUUUUCCAGCAACGAAGGUUUUGGGAACAGUAAAAUGGUUCAAUGUAAGGAACGGAUAUGGUUUCAUCAACAGGAAUGACACCAAGGAAGAUGUAUUUGUACACCAGACUGCCAUAAAGAAGAAUAACCCCAGGAAGUACCUUCGCAGUGUAGGAGAUGGAGAGACUGUGGAGUUUGAUGUUGUUGAAGGAGAAAAGGGUGCGGAGGCAGCAAAUGUUACAGGUCCUGGUGGUGUUCCAGUUCAAGGCAGUAAAUAUGCAGCAGACCGUAACCAUUAUAGACGCUAUCCACGUCGUAGGGGUCCUCCACGCAAUUACCAGCAAAAUUACCAGAAUAGUGAGAGUGGGGAAAAGAACGAGGGAUCGGAGAGUGCUCCCGAAGGCCAGGCCCAACAACGCCGGCCCUACCGCAGGCGAAGGUUCCCACCUUACUACAUGCGGAGACCCUAUGGGCGUCGACCACAGUAUUCCAACCCUCCUGUGCAGGGAGAAGUGAUGGAGGGUGCUGACAACCAGGGUGCAGGAGAACAAGG
Molecule: small RNA, 780 nt
Filed under: Pongo abelii (Sumatran orangutan)
Lineage: Eukaryota; Metazoa; Chordata; Mammalia; Primates; Hominidae
Description: processed transcript
Source: RNAcentral